UGUUAUGUGGCGAAAUGGUAACGCGGCAUUCCCAUUCUUUAAUGGCAUAUGUAUAUCGUGGGUUCAACCCCCACCAUAACAC
This 82-nucleotide transfer RNA is filed under the name Haemophilus influenzae Rd KW20. It matches the Rfam family "tRNA". From Rfam's summary of the family: Transfer RNA (tRNA) molecules are approximately 80 nucleotides in length. Their secondary structure includes four short double-helical elements and three loops (D, anti-codon, and T loops). RNAcentral also lists the same sequence under 1 other name. The record is from Rfam by way of RNAcentral. Lineage: Bacteria; Pseudomonadati; Pseudomonadota; Gammaproteobacteria; Pasteurellales; Pasteurellaceae.